Molecule: long non-coding RNA, 2324 nt
Organism: Helianthus annuus (common sunflower)
Lineage: Eukaryota; Viridiplantae; Streptophyta; Magnoliopsida; Asterales; Asteraceae
Exons: 4
Source: RefSeq, a predicted model, not a curated record
AUAACACUCUAAUUUGCAACAUUUUGUUGCAUUAAAGGUUGUGCAUCAAGCUUGGUUGAUGUCUCAGGCAGUAAAGAUUGUACACAUUGUUUAAAGUCAUGUACUACUUGACCUUAACUUUUCCCUACUUGUACAUAAAAGAAAAUGAGAUGCAAACUUUAGACUUUAGAGAGAGAGAGUAGUCUGAGAAAGUAGAGAGAGAGAGAGCAGCAAAGAAAAAGGAUCCGAUGGGUUCCGGCCGCCGGUGAUGGCGGAGCCAUGGUGCCUUUAGAUGGAGCUACAACAGUGAUGGUCUAGGUGGUGUCGGGUUGGAGAAAGAAACAACAGUGGUGGUGCUAGGGUUUGAUAGAGGAUGAUGGUGGGUUCUCCCCUUUCUCCGACGAAGGAGCCGACAACGGUAGUGAUGGCCGGCCAUGAUGAAGACGAUGGUGUUUCUUUUGUUGAGAAGUGACGGUGGUAGUGAUGGUCGGGAAGACGAUGGUGUUUCUUUUGUUGAGAAGUGGCGGUGGAGACAGAUUAGGGUUUCGCGAUGUCUUCUGGUAUAGUUCAUGCCAAACUCAGGUAAGGUUCGACUCUAUUAGUAUUCCGUAAAACUGAGCCACUUUGUCGUCUUUACCAAAGAAAUUAUAUAUUCUUAUGUUACCCUUAAAAAAUAACUGAAUUUGACUUAAUAGUGACCGUUUGAUCAAGCUGAGAUGAGAUAUCCGCCGUGUAAAUUAACCCAAUUCUUCUAGAAGGAGCAGUUUUUCAGCGGUUGUAACUUGUAUGUUGUAACCUCCUGUUUUUGAGGAUGAACCUGGGUAACCAGAAUCAUGUAUUUUAAUAGGCCACUCCGAUGUGAUUCAAAUAUUUCUUUUGAUGUUUGAUUUGCCAUAUGAAGCUGUAUCAACACUCUUUUAACCCACUCGGUGGCGCAUGAUGUUCACUCAACUCUAUCAAAGACGCCCGCCACCGGCGUUGACGUAGCGGUGGUGAAUAGUGAAUUGGAGACGGACCCACCCGAAGGUUCUGUGGAAGGGGUACACUGAAUGUCUGUACCAGCAUAAAGAACUAGGCUUGUAUUUGGAUGUGAGCCGGGUCAGGUUUACAUAUGGGUUUGUGAGGGAGAUGGAGCCUAGGUUUGCUAAGGCGAUGGAGGAGCUUGAAAAGGGGAUGAUUUUAAACCCAUCGUACCCGACACGACCCCAAUCGCAGAUUGCAAGGUUACCAUUUAAAGAACAUCAAAUAUGAUAGCUGGAGUUCAAAUUUCAUCCUGCUUGUAUAGAGAUGACACCAGAGGAGGCUAAACAGAUAUGGCUAAUGCAAUUGUCUUGGCAGACUGAUUUCUUGUAAAACUACAAUCUUUAAACUGUGAGUAUUUUGUUUCUCCCAAUCACACACUUCAUCCAUACGCUGCUUCUAAAAUAGAUAAUUUUUUGUUUCAUUAUAUCUUUAUUAUCUAUAUGUUUGUUUAAAAUUGAUGAAUUACUAAUUUAAUAAAUUAGAGUGAUAAUAAUUAUAUUUGAUCUCGUGUGGGACUAAUUGACAUGUAGGUAACUCGAAAGGCCCUCAUGUUUUUUUUUUGAACGACCAACAAAAUUAAUCCCUAGCACUCUCGGGGCACCCACUGCACCAAACAGAGUACCCCGAGGGUAAUCCAAGUCCAACACCAAUUCCAGAGAAAGGCUCUCAUGUUGGCUGGCUGAAAUAUUUGAUUAUGUCCACUUUUCAAGUCCUUACAAAAUCAAGUCGAGGCGUGUGUGAGUGUGUGUAUAUAUUUCUGUUUCAUUAUGUUAGUUAGAGAAAAUAUACUUUUCUAAUUAUGAAUUAAUAAACAAAUUUCAAAGUAGGCUGAUUUAGGUUGUGGUUUAUCUGCAGUGGAGUAGUGGGUCAAGUAGGAAAGGUAACUUCAAAAAGAACAUGUCAAAUGGUUGAAAUUCAUCUCAAAUGUAUUUUUAAUGUUUAUCGUCUCCCACAUUGUAUUAAUUAAAAAAUAGAAUAUUACGGUACAACAAAGCUAUUGUAGGCGUUCUAACAAGUAUUGAUACAUAGCUUGGAGGUUAGGUGAGUUUAUUUAUUUACUUUUACGAUUAUUGUUAUUAUUAUAUGUUUUGGUUUACUAAAUGGCCUGAAAAUGUUCUAAAAUGCAGUAUGCAGUAUGGUGACGGAACCCAUAUCAGUUGGUUUGAACGUUGGUCUUGACAUUGUUAGGGGAAGCUCCAGUUUUCUUUGUUGAUGAUUUACGUACAUGCCAAUAUUUUAAAUAGAUAACAUCUGAAACUAAAGGAAUCUGAAACAACCAUUAUUGUUGGGAAUAAGAAGAUAGUAUGAUGUUAGAAUUCUAA